AGUGAACGCUGGCGAUAGGCCUAACACAUGCAAGUCGAACGGCAGCACAGGAGAGCUUGCUCUCUGGGUGGCGAGUGGCGGACGGGUGAGGAAUACAUCGGAAUCUACUCUGUCGUGGGGGAUAACGUAGGGAAACUUACGCUAAUACCGCAUACGACCUACGGGUGAAAGCAGGGGAUCUUCGGACCUUGCGCGAUUGAAUGGGCCGAUGUCGGAUUAGCUAGUUGGCGGGGUAAAGGCCCACCAAGGCGACGAUCCGUAGCUGGUCUGAGAGGAUGGUCAGCCACACUGGAACAGAGACACGGUCGAGACUCCUACGGGAGGCAGCGGUGGGGAAUAUUGGACAAUGGGCGCAAGCCUGAUCCAGCCAUACCGCGUGGGUGAAGAAGGCCUUCGGGUUGUAAAGCCCUUUUGUUGGGAAAGAAAUCCAGCUGGCUAAUACCCGGUUGGGAUGACGGUACCCAAAGAAUAAGCACCGGCUAACUUCGUGCCAGCCGCCGCCGUAA
This 506-nucleotide ribosomal RNA is filed under the name uncultured bacterium. Its description in RNAcentral is "partial 16S ribosomal RNA". It matches the Rfam family "Bacterial small subunit ribosomal RNA", at positions 29 to 523 of the family's 1533-position model. The record is from RNAcentral.